This 873-nucleotide ribosomal RNA is filed under the name Triticum aestivum (bread wheat). RNAcentral describes it as "partial small subunit ribosomal RNA". The record is from RNAcentral. Lineage: Eukaryota; Viridiplantae; Streptophyta; Magnoliopsida; Poales; Poaceae.
AUGAAUGCCACAUCCGGGGUUAUCCUGGCGAUGGGGCUGUACUACUAUGGACUGCGCGGCACCAACGCCGCCUACUCCGUCGUCUUCCUCAACCUCAUCCCCAUCGUCACCUCCGUGGUCGCCAUCCUACUCCGGGCAGAGAAGCUGGUAUUCAGCAAGUGGCAUGGAAAGAUGAAGCUCUUGGGCAUCGUGGCCUGCGUCGGGGGAACAAUGGUGGUCGGCCUCUACAAGGGCAAGAUGCUGCACCAUCCUUGGCCGACCCACCUGCUGAGGUCCCGUACUCACACGACCGCAGCUCCGGCAGCUCACCACGACAUGGUCGUCGGCACGUUGUUCCUCUGCGGUAGCUGCCUCGGAUACGCCUUCUGGUUCAUCAUACAGGUUAAAAUUGCCAAGGUAUUCCCAUCUAGGUACUGGGUGGCGACGCUGACGUGUCUGUUGGGAAGCCUGCAAGCAUUCGUCAUCGGCAUCCUCAUCGACCCUCACACAUCCGCAUGGAGGCUCAAGUGGGACCUGCAGCUCUUAACCGUCGUCUAUUCAGGGGUGUUCAACACCGGUGUUGCAUUGGUCCUCAUGUCGUGGGUGGUGAAGCGCCGUGGGCCCAUCUACCCCUCCAUGUUUAAUUCCCUCACGAUGGUAGCGACAGUGAUCAUGGACUCGACACUGCUUGGCACCAGCAUCUUCUUAGGCAGCAUAAUAGGGACGGUGCUGGUCAUUGUGGGGCUAUACGCAUUUCUGUGGGGGAAAGGGAAGGAGCUGCGGGAAGCUAUGUCGCUAACGAAGAACGCCAGUGAGAAUGAACACCCUGGAGACGGUGAUGAGCAUGGUGAGCCAGUGUUGGAGGUGCGUCGUCGCGGCGAUGAAAUAGUAUAG